AGGUUCAUUUUUUAUGGGGGAACAAUUUUAUACUGUUCUCUUAAGGAUGUAAUUGCAUUUGUUUGAUGUUCUCCAGUUUUCAUAUCAUCUUUCUUGUCAAGGAAAAACAAAAAAAUGUUUCAUAUCAUCUUUGUCAAGCAUUGGGCUUUUACCAUCCAUUGACACAGGAGUAAAUUGAAGUUUUACGCCAUGACAUGUUAAGCUGGGUUUGAUGAAUGAAAACAAAAGGGAAUAUGGACUAUUACUCAUGUCAUAUGUAAGUGAAAUAUGGAACUAUAACUCAUAGGAUUAACGGUAGACAUUAUACCUUUUACACCAUAUCAUGCCUUUUGCUUCAUGUCAUAACUUUUACAAUAACUUUUACACCUACCAAUAAAUAACAAUGUUUCGGGCCUUUCUCUUAUUACAUGGUUGUUCAACUCUCACAUGAUAGAGCAAGUCCAGUGCAUUUCUAGUGAGAAAAAGGAAGUCAAUUACGAAUCUCCAAGACCAACACAUCAAAUGUAACUUUGGGAUUGAACUUGCUUCACUAUUUGGGAUAAUCUCAGACAUUCUUCACUUCAUCAGGUCCACUUUAUGCUCAGUAGGAUUUUAUUUUCCCAUAUUUCAGAGUUGUGAUUUUUCUUGUCCCAUGUUCUGGUUAAAUCACACAUUUGUUUAUAUGAUUCUAAUACUUGGGCUGGUCUUCUUUAAUGGUCUUAUAGUUAUCCACUGGAAAUUUCCAAUAACAAUGCACUUUUUAGUUUAUUAAUUUUUUUUUUUAUCUUUAUUCAGUUUAAAAAAAAAAA
Non-coding RNA from Malus domestica (apple), 788 nucleotides. NCBI's taxonomy places the organism in Eukaryota, Viridiplantae, Streptophyta, Magnoliopsida, Rosales, Rosaceae. The record is from RefSeq and is a predicted model, not a curated record.